Molecule: signal recognition particle RNA, 299 nt
Filed under: Cebus imitator (Panamanian white-faced capuchin)
Lineage: Eukaryota; Metazoa; Chordata; Mammalia; Primates; Cebidae
Description: Metazoan signal recognition particle RNA (ENSCCAG00000003373.1)
Rfam family: Metazoan signal recognition particle RNA
About the family: The signal recognition particle (SRP) is a universally conserved ribonucleoprotein. It is involved in the co-translational targeting of proteins to membranes.
Source: RNAcentral
GCCAGGCGCAGUGGCGCAUGCCUGUAGUCCCAGCCACUCGGGAGGCUGAGGUGGGAGGAUCGCUUGAGCCCAGGAGUUGUGGGCUGCAGUGCGCUAUGCUGAUCCAAUGUCCAUACUAAGUUCGGCAUCAAUAUGGUGACCUUCCAGGAGCGGGGGACCACCAGGUUGCCUAAGGAGAGGAGAACCAGCCCAGGUCGGAAACGGAGUAGGUCAAAACUCCCGUGCUGAUCAGCAGUGGGAUCGCGCCUGUGAAUAGCCACUGCACUCCAGCCUGGGCCACAUAGUGAGACCCUGUCUCU